CGGACGGGUGAGUAACGCGUGGGGAACCUGCCCUGUACAGGGGGAUAACACUUAGAAAUAGGUGCUAAUACCGCAUAAGCGCACAGUAUCGCAUGAUACAGUGUGAAAAACUCCGGUGGUACAGGAUGGACCCGCGUCUGAUCAGCUGGUUGGCGGGGUAACGGCCCACCAAGGCGACGAUCAGUAGCCGGCCUGAGAGGGUGAACGGCCACAUUGGGACUGAGACACGGCCCAAACUCCUACGGAAGGCAGCAG
RNAcentral lists this ribosomal RNA (255 nucleotides) under uncultured bacterium. RNAcentral's name for it is "partial 16S ribosomal RNA". It matches the Rfam family "Bacterial small subunit ribosomal RNA", at positions 99 to 354 of the family's 1533-position model. The record is from RNAcentral.